GCAGAUGGCCGGAUGGCCGCCGCCGCCCCAUGGGCGGGGGAGGAAAGUCCGGGCUCCACGGAAACACGGUGCCGGUUAACGGCCGGCGAAGGCGACUUCAGGGACAGUGCCACAGAAAGCAAACCGCCUGUCUUGCGGCAGGUAAGGGUGAAAGGGUGCGGUAAGAGCGCACCGCGCCCCUGGUAACAGGGGUGGCAGGGUAAACCCCACCGGGAGCAAAACCAAUAGGGAUGGUUGCUGGCAACAGCAGGCGGGUUUCCGCGCCACCGUCCGGGUCGGUUGCUUGAGCCUGUCGGCAACGGCAGGCCUAGAGGAAUGGCCAUCCAUCCGCGCCAUGCGGAGGACAGAACCCGGCUUACAGGCCAUCUGCUUCC
This 374-nucleotide RNase P RNA is filed under the name Eilatimonas milleporae. Its description in RNAcentral is "bacterium MD2 Bacterial RNase P class A". It matches the Rfam family "Bacterial RNase P class A". From Rfam's summary of the family: Ribonuclease P (RNase P) is a ubiquitous endoribonuclease, found in archaea, bacteria and eukarya as well as chloroplasts and mitochondria. Lineage: Bacteria; Pseudomonadati; Pseudomonadota; Alphaproteobacteria; Kordiimonadales; Kordiimonadaceae. The record is from Rfam by way of RNAcentral.